Molecule: ribosomal RNA, 497 nt
Filed under: uncultured bacterium
Lineage: Bacteria
Description: partial 16S ribosomal RNA
Rfam family: Bacterial small subunit ribosomal RNA
Source: RNAcentral
GGUGAACGCUGGCGGCGUGCCUAAUACAUGCAAGUCGAGCGAACGGACGAGAAGCUUGCUUCUCUGAUGUUAGCGGCGGACGGGUGAGUAACACGUGGAUAACCUACCUAUAAGACUGGGAUAACUUCGGGAAACCGGAGCUAAUACCGGAUGAUAUUUUGAACCGCAUGGUUCAAAAGUGAAAGACGGUCUUGCUGUCACUUAUAGAUGGAUCCGCGCUGCAUUAGCUAGUUGGUAAGGUAACGGCUUACCAAGGCAACGAUGCAUAGCCGACCUGAGAGGGUGAUCGGCCACACUGGAACUGAGACACGGUCCAGACUCCUACGGGAGGCAGCAGUAGGGAAUCUUCCGCAAUGGGCGAAAGCCUGACGGAGCAACGCCGCGUGAGUGAUGAAGGUCUUCGGAUCGUAAAACUCUGUUAUUAGGGAAGAACAUAUGUGUAAAUAACUGUGCACAUCUUGACGGUACCUAAUCAGAAAGCCACGGCUAACUACGUG